Molecule: ribosomal RNA, 346 nt
Filed under: uncultured bacterium
Lineage: Bacteria
Description: partial 16S ribosomal RNA
Rfam family: Bacterial small subunit ribosomal RNA
Source: RNAcentral
CCUACGGGAGGCAGCAGUGGGGAAUAUUGCGCAAUGGGCGAAAGCCUGACGCAGCGACGCCGCGUGAGGGAUGAAGGUCUUCGGAGCGUAAACCUCUGUCAGCAGGGAAGAACGGUCACGGUGCUAAUCAGCAGUGAAUGGACGGUACCGGCAAAGGAAGCACCGGCUAACUCCGUGCCAGCAGCCGCGGUAAUCCGGAGGGUGCGAGCGUUAAUCGGAAUUACUGGGCGUAAAGCGCUCGUAGGCGGUAUGUCAAGUAAAGGGUGAAAUCCCCGCGCUCAACGUGGGAACUGCCUUUUAAACUUGCAAACUGGAGUGUGUGAGCGGAUAGUGGCAUUCCAGGUGU